AUACGUAGGUGACAAGCGUUAUCCGGAUUUACUGGGCGUAAAGGGCGUGUAGGCGGUCUUGCAAGUCAGAAGUGAAAUUCCUGAGCUCAACUCGGGCGCUGCUUCUGAAACUGCAGGACUCGAGUGCUGGCGGGGAUAGCGGACAUCCUGGUGUAGCGGUGAAAUGCGCAGAUAUCAGGAGGAACCCCGGUGGCGAAGGCGGGUCUCUGGGCAGUAACUGACGCUGAGGAGCGAAAGCAUGGGUAGCGAACAGGAUUAGAUACCCUGGUAGUCCACGCUGUAAACGAUGAGCACUAGGUGUCGGGCUAGCAAUAGUUCGGUGCCGCAGUUAACGCAAUAAGUGCUCCGCCUGGGGAGUACGCACGCAAGUGUGAAACUCAAAUGAAUUGGCGGGG
RNAcentral lists this ribosomal RNA (395 nucleotides) under uncultured bacterium. Its description in RNAcentral is "partial 16S ribosomal RNA". It matches the Rfam family "Bacterial small subunit ribosomal RNA", at positions 523 to 918 of the family's 1533-position model. The record is from RNAcentral.